This 217-nucleotide ribosomal RNA is filed under the name uncultured bacterium. RNAcentral's name for it is "partial 16S ribosomal RNA". It matches the Rfam family "Bacterial small subunit ribosomal RNA", at positions 524 to 740 of the family's 1533-position model. The record is from RNAcentral.
UACGUAGGGUGCGAGCGUUGUCCGGAAUUACUGGGCGUAAAGAGCUCGUAGGUGGUUUGUCGCGUUGUUCGUGAAAACUCACAGCUUAACUGUGGGCGUGCGGGCGAUACGGGCAGACUAGAGUGCGGUAGGGGAGACUGGAAUUCCUGGUGUAGCGGUGAAAUGCGCAGAUAUCAGGAGGAACACCGGUGGCGAAGGCGGGUCUCUGGGCCGUAAC